RNAcentral lists this unclassified non-coding RNA (336 nucleotides) under soil metagenome. RNAcentral's name for it is "partial contains 5.8S ribosomal RNA, internal transcribed spacer 2, and large subunit ribosomal RNA". The stretch from base 1 to 120 matches the Rfam family "5.8S ribosomal RNA", at positions 35 to 154 of the family's 154-position model. The record is from RNAcentral.
GAUGAAGAACGCAGCGAAAUGCGAUAAGUAGUGUGAAUUGCAGAAUUCAGUGAAUCAUCGAAUCUUUGAACGCACAUUGCGCCCCUUGGUAUUCCAUGGGGCAUGCCUGUUCGAGCGUCAUUUGUACCUUCAAGCUUUGCUUGGUGUUGGGUGUUUGUCUCGCCUUUGCGUGUAGACUCGCCUUAAAAUAAUUGGCAGCCGGCGUAUUGAUUUCGGAGCGCAGUACAUCUCGCGCUUUGCACUCAUAACGACAGCGUCCAAAAGUACAUUUUACACUCUUGACCUCGGAUCAGGUAGGGAUACCCGCUGAACUUAAGCAUAUCAAUAAGCGGAGGC